Molecule: long non-coding RNA, 703 nt
Organism: Lagopus leucura (white-tailed ptarmigan)
Lineage: Eukaryota; Metazoa; Chordata; Aves; Galliformes; Phasianidae
Exons: 3
Source: RefSeq, a predicted model, not a curated record
GGAGUCCAGAGGACUUAUAAGGGAGUGAUGGUAGCUUGAGGCUGAACUUCUGAUCCAAACUUUGCUGUUGCAUUCCCUUUUAUCAGAAAAUUAAGACUCUCUAUUCAGCAGGGAAAGGACAAUGAUAAGAGAAUCACAGCCUAUGAUUGGAGAGUGGAAGCUGGAACUCUGUUCAACUGAGCUAAUUCUUUGAAUAUGCACACUUCUACAGAGUGUAAAGAACAUCCAGGGGAAGCUCUGCUGGAAGUCCUGUGCCUGCAGCAAUUUGAAGAAUCAAGCCACUUAAUGAGAUACCUGAUGGGAUCAUUACCAUGUCCAACUGCAGGGAAGCUUAGAGCCUCACAAGUUCCUUUUCUUCAAAAAUUCCACAAAUAGAGGGAAAAAUAAGCAUCAUCAGGAGAUAAGUUAAAGCCAAGGAACAUCAAUGUGAAAAUGCAAGGAAGAGAGAAGCUCUUAGUGGAAAGUUGAUAAACAACAAGAAUUUAAGGCAGACAGAAGACAACAAAGAGUGGACAGUAAUUUCAGUGAAGAAAAGGAGAAGAUAUCCUGAAAGAAGGUGCACACUCUGGAGAUGGAUCAAUGUGAAGAAAUUAUAGAAAUGACAUUACAAUAUAAAGGAGCAGUACAAUGCAGUAAAAGAGACUUUUUGAAGUCUCAUGCUUACAAAUAUUGAAGUCUGUACUAAUCCUGGAGUCAGCUAAUC